This 274-nucleotide ribosomal RNA is filed under the name uncultured bacterium. RNAcentral's name for it is "partial 16S ribosomal RNA". It matches the Rfam family "Bacterial small subunit ribosomal RNA", at positions 523 to 796 of the family's 1533-position model. The record is from RNAcentral.
CUACGGAGGGUGCAAGCGUUAUCCGGAAUCAUUGGGUUUAAAGGGUCCGUAGGCGGGCUAAUAAGUCAGGGGUGAAAUCCCACAGCUUAACUGUGGAACUGCCCUUGAUACUGUUGGUCUUGAGUUACAGUGAAGUGGUUAGAAUGUGUAGUGUAGCGGUGAAAUGCAUAGAGAUUACACAGAAUACCGAUUGCGAAGGCAGAUCACUAACUGUAUACUGACGCUAAUGGACGAAAGCGUGGGGAGCGAACAGGAUUAGAAACCCUAGUAGUCC